UGAGGAACUUGCCCCGGAGACCGGGAUAACCCUCCGAAAGGAGAGCUAAUACCGGAUGUCCUCACCGAGCCGCAUGGUUUGGUGAAGAAAUGGAUUCCGCUCCGGGAGAGCCUCGCGGCCUAUCAGCUAGUUGGUGGGGUAACGGCCCACCAAGGCGACGACGGGUAGCUGGUCUGAGAGGAUGGCCAGCCACAUUGGGACUGAGACACGGCCCAGACUCCUACGGGAGGCAG
RNAcentral lists this ribosomal RNA (233 nucleotides) under uncultured bacterium. RNAcentral describes it as "partial 16S ribosomal RNA". It matches the Rfam family "Bacterial small subunit ribosomal RNA", at positions 118 to 351 of the family's 1533-position model. The record is from RNAcentral.